RNAcentral lists this ribosomal RNA (719 nucleotides) under Tachysurus tokiensis. RNAcentral describes it as "partial 12S rRNA". It matches the Rfam family "Bacterial small subunit ribosomal RNA", at positions 192 to 1329 of the family's 1533-position model. The record is from RNAcentral. Lineage: Eukaryota; Metazoa; Chordata; Actinopteri; Siluriformes; Bagridae.
AUCCCUGUGAGAAUGCCCUCAAUCCUCUGCCCGAGAACGAGGAGCAGGCAUCAGGCACAACUAACCUCUGCCCAAGACGCCUUGCUAAGCCACACCCCCAAGGGACUUCAGCAGUAAUAAAUAUUAAGCCAUAAGUGAAAACUUGACUUAGUUAGAGUUAAAAGGGCCGGUAAAAUUCGUGCCAGCCACCGCGGUUAUACGAAAGACCCUAGUUGAUAGACACGGCGUAAAGGGUGGUUAAGGAAGACAAGUAAUAAAGCUAAAGACCCUCUAAGCUGUCAUACGCACCCCGAGAGCACGAAACCCAAGCACGAAAGUAGCUUUAAACAUUAUUACCUGACCCCACGAAAGCUAAGAAACAAACUGGGAUUAGAUACCCCACUAUGCUUAGCUAUAAACCUAGAUGUCCCCUUACAUAAACAUCCGCCCGGGUACUACGAGCACAGCUUAAAACCCAAAGGACUUGGCGGUGUCUCAGACCCACCUAGAGGAGCCUGUUCUAGAACCGAUAACCCCCGUUAAACCUCACCACUUCUUGUUUUCCCCGCCUAUAUACCGCCGUCGUCAGCUUACCCUGUGAAGGCUUAAUAGUAAGCAAAAUGGGCCCGCCCAAAAACGUCAGGUCGAGGUGUAGCGUACGAAGUGGGAAGAAAUGGGCUACAUUUUCUAUCCAUAUAGAAUAUUACGAAUGACAUACUGAAAUAAAUGUCUGAAGGUGG